Molecule: ribosomal RNA, 432 nt
Filed under: uncultured bacterium
Lineage: Bacteria
Description: partial 16S ribosomal RNA
Rfam family: Bacterial small subunit ribosomal RNA
Source: RNAcentral
AACGAACGCUGGCGGCAUGCCUAACACAUGCAAGUCGAACGAGACCUUCGGGUCUAGUGGCGCACGGGUGCGUAACGCGUGGGAACCUGCCCUUAGGUUCGGAAUAACUCCCCGAAAGGGGUGCUAAUACCGGAUAAUGUCUUCGGACCAAAGAUUUAUCGCCUUUGGAUGGGCCCGCGUUGGAUUAGCUAGUUGGUAGGGUAAAAGCCUACCAAGGCGACGAUCCAUAGCUGGUCUGAGGGGAUGAUCAGCCACACUGGGACUGAGACACGGCCCAGACUCCUACGGGAGGCAGCAGUGGGGAAUAUUGGACAAUGGGCGAAAGCCUGAUCCAGCAAUGCCGCGUGAGUGAUGAAGGCCUUAGGGUUGUAAAGCUCUUUUACCCGGGAUGAUAAUGACAGUACCGGGAGAAUAAGCUCCGGCUAACUCCGU